AACUGCCUACGCAAGUAGUGAGGAAGGCGGGGAUGACGUCAAAUCAGCAGGCCCUUACGUCCAGGGCUACACACGUGCUACAAUGGCCGAUACAGAGGGCAGCUACCUGGUGACAGGAUGCAAAUCUCCAAAGUCGGUCUUAGUUCGGAUCGGAGUCUGCAACCCGACUCCGUGAAGUUGGAUUCGCUAGUAAUCGCGCAUCAGCCAUGGCGCGGUGAAUACGUUCCGGGCCUU
RNAcentral lists this ribosomal RNA (234 nucleotides) under uncultured Sphingobacteriales bacterium. Its description in RNAcentral is "partial 16S ribosomal RNA". It matches the Rfam family "Bacterial small subunit ribosomal RNA", at positions 1147 to 1382 of the family's 1533-position model. The record is from RNAcentral. Lineage: Bacteria; Pseudomonadati; Bacteroidota; Sphingobacteriia; Sphingobacteriales.